RNA transcript from Odontomachus brunneus, 4680 nucleotides. It is a transcript of the gene named E3 ubiquitin-protein ligase COP1-like, with no coding region annotated. NCBI's taxonomy places the organism in Eukaryota, Metazoa, Arthropoda, Insecta, Hymenoptera, Formicidae. The transcript is spliced from 4 exons. The record is from RefSeq and is a predicted model, not a curated record.
CACUUACGUUUUUUCGCUAACGUAUCAACCAUGAAGAAGGGAUUAGUACUUGGAGUGUACGAGACAGACGACGAGAACAAAGUUGUACUUACUUCGACAGCAGCAAAAUAUAAUGAGCUUGUUAAAGGCCAACUGUGGAAAUACAUCUUGCUGAGUGACUAGACUGAGAGACGGUAUUAUACACAUGAUAUGAAGCGCAACUUGCUCCGCACAAGGAUUUCCUAGAAACACGCUGCGCUUUAUAAAUGAAAAUAUAAUACUGCCUGUUUUAUUCUUUUCCUCGCUUGAUGAUUCGAAUGCGCCUAUUAGGAAUAUUUCUGUACGUAAAUCGAAGGCGCUGCGGGACUUUUCUUUUGACUUAAUCAUUGCUGCUUCAAGAAACUAACGGAAAUCGAGUAAAAUAGUAAUGUCGACUCUUGGCGACGGUAAUAUGGGGAAUGAUAGCAGCGCAGGGAGCAGCGGUGGAUUAGGCGAAGGUAGCGGUAAAACGAGUAAACAACCGGCGAACGUGUUGCAAAGGAUAACAGGGAUAUUAGAAGAUAAGAGCAACGAUUAUUUGUGCCCAAUUUGUUUCGACCUUAUCGACGAGGCACAUAUCACGCGUUGUGGACACACAUUUUGUUACAGUUGUAUCGUGAAGUCCUUAGAAACCAAAGAUCGUUGUCCAAAAUGUAGUUUCACGUUGAGCCAACAGGAUAUUUUUCCGAAUUUCUUGUUACAUGAACUAAUAUUAAAAUAUAAAAUGAGGACUAAGGGUCUCGCACAGAUAGGUUCUUACGCGACAGAUAGUAGACGCAGAUCAGCAGGCACUGAUUCGUUGUCGUCUGCGUGUGACGGUUUGAGAAACAUCGUGGCUGCGGAAAGCGCUAAUCUCACUCUACCCGACGUGAAUGUGAUGUUGGAAGUAUUGACUCAACGGAAGCAUUUGCUCGAAGCAGAGACUUGUACAGCGCAGAAUAAACUGCUGCACGAAUUUUUGAAACACCUGCUGCAACAGAAAGAGGAACAGAAAAAUCAGUUACAGAAGGAGGUAGCGUUAAUCAAGAAAGACAUGGCGGAAGUGGAAAAUAUUUUGAAAGAUGUUCAGAGCAAAUGUCCGCGAGUGGAGGAUCUGAAGAAAAUCAGUGAGCACGAGACAGCGCAGGUUUCCGCUAUUAGGAAAGAGAUGCUCGGCCUUAUAGAUAUAAUAGACUCAAAUAUGGUAAAACCUAGCGAUAAAGCAACUGGCAUGACCGAUAUUUUCUUCACAAAUCAUCCGGGCGGAUCUGCUCAGAGACAGAGCGAAUUUUCCGGUGGCUCAACCUUAGCCAUACGUCGAAAGAGAUUGCACGCACAUUUUGACGAUUUUGUGCAAUGCUAUUUCGAUUCGCGCGGUAAAGAGUUACUGCUUGGUCAGAAGUCGCAGUCGUUACAAAGUGAAACGCAACAGCACGGCGGUGUGCAUAGCACGAGCUCUGGUUUGGAUGUGUUCCGUGAAAAUCUGGUUAAAUUCUCGCGGUAUAAUUCGCUGCGAUCAUUGGCUACACUCAACUAUUCGUCGGAUAUCUUCAAUAAUUCUACCAUCGUAUCUAGUAUCGAAUUUGAUAAGGAUAACGAGUUUUUCGCGAUUGCUGGUGUUACAAAACGCAUCAAAGUAUUCGAUUAUGGAGCUGUUAUACGAGACACUGUAGACAUUCACUAUCCGUGUGUCGAAAUGGUCUCGAGUUCAAAGAUCUCGUGUGUCUCCUGGAAUUCUUUUCAUAAGGGGAUGUUAGCCUCUUCAGAUUAUGAGGGUACGGUGACUGUGUGGGACGCCACAACGGGUCAACGUACAAAGGCAUUUCAAGAACAUGAAAAGCGAUGCUGGUCUGUGGACUUCAACGAUGUAGAUACGAGAUUAAUUGCAUCUGGUUCCGAUGAUGCUCGUGUCAAAUUAUGGGCACUGAAUACGGAUUACUCCGUAGCGUCAUUAGAAGCAAAAGCCAAUGUUUGUUGUGUCAAGUUCAAUCCGCGUAGUUCGUGUCACCUGGCCUUUGGUUCUGCAGACCACUGCGUGCAUUAUUACGAUUUGCGUAACAUGAAAGAAGCGUUAUGUAUAUUCAAGGGUCAUCGUAAGGCCGUAUCUUAUGUUAAAUUUAUCAACAAAGAGGAGAUCGUGUCUGCUAGCACAGAUUCGCAAUUGAAAAUGUGGAAUAUUAACAAUCCACUUUGCCUGCGUUCCUUCGUGGGACACGUUAAUGAGAAAAACUUUGUUGGCCUUGCCACCGAUGGUGAUUAUGUCGCUUGCGGGUCUGAAAAUAAUGCACUGUAUGUGUAUUAUAAAGGUUUGACGAAGCAACUGUUUUCGUACAAAUUCGAUGCAGUGCGAAGCAUACUGGAGUUACAGGACAGAAGAGAGGAGGAUUUGAACGAAUUCGUGUCCGCAGUCUGCUGGAGACAGAUGUCCAAUGUUGUGGUAGCCGCUAAUUCCCAGGGAAUUAUUAAAAUUUUAGAACUUGUUUGAGACAAUUAGGAAGAACUGGUCGAGCAGGUGGCUAAAUGAAAUACUACUAAUUUAAAUUAAAAAGGGUUUAAAUGACAAGAGGAUAAGAAAUUAACAAAUGAACAAUUUAAUGUGUGCGUGAAGUGUUACUUAUACGAAAUUAAAGAAUUUAAUUUAAUUAGAAUUAAUAAUUUAACUGAAAGAACUCAGCAAAUAUGGUGACAUCAAAUGACGUAUUAAUAACGUUAGGGACGUUAUUAAUAUAUCAUUAAUAUGUCAUUUUACAUUAUCCUACUACUUUGAGAAAGUUCAGCUUUGACUUUCGGCUUGAUUUGAUGAUAUCUAAAGCACUGUAUAUAAUACAUCAUAGGCGGUUAACGCGAAAAUAACGUAUUAUUUUCGAUAAGGUAUUAUAUUCUUUUGAUAUUUUUGUUUCUUGUUUUAUUUCUUUUUCCCUAUUUUAUAUUCUUAGAUCCUUUUUAUUUUCUGAUAUUGAAAUUUUACGAUAAUGCAAGGAUAAGUAACAAUGAAAAACAAUUGAAUCAUUCUAAAUAACAUGACAUUUAAUUCUAAUGAUUUAUAGAAAGAAUUUCUAAUGCAAUGAAAUUUAAACUGUCAGGCUGAGUGGUAUAAAUAUCAUAUCUUGACAGUCAGGAUAGUAAUGCGACAUUAAAAAUGAAUAUUAUGCAGAUGAUGAUCUUUGAUUGAUCUAUGCUCAAUAUACUGCGGAGCACAAAUAUUUUCGCUAUGUACUGUAUGCUGUAUAUAAGUGUGAAAAAGAAAGUAGAAGGUGUGCCGGACAUGAAAAUAAAAUGCGUUCGAGUAAGUGAUACCUAUAAAUAUUUAUAAGAGAAUGUGCGAUUCUAUAUACAUUUCUUAUACACAAAACGAUAGUUAUAUGUACAUAUGAUAGUAUGUGUGAUGUAUGUGAGUGAAUACUAAAGUUUUUCUAAUAGUGCUUUUUCAAACGUUAUGUAUCUGUUCUCGAUAGCGACCUUUGAAUUGAGGAUAAUAUAAUUGCGUGAUAACGCUAAAUUUUCUUUAGCGUUUAUUAAAUACGGAGUUGCUGUUUAAAUUUUUGUAAAAUUUCAGUUUUCAUAAAGUGUAAAGUUACAUAACUUUUUAUUGGCAUCUUCUAUAGUAAGUUACUGAUAUGAAAUUUUCAACUUGAGAAGUGAUUUCUCAAUAUCAUGACUUUACAUGAUUUUAUAAAAAAAAGCUUGAUAAAGUGCAAUCAGUAUCUUGUGAAUAAAUAUUUUCUCGCGACGAUAACAGUAUCUACAGAUAGCGCAUAUUUUGGUUGAGUACUUUGAUACGUAACUCAACGUUUUAUUACUGUACAUCAAAACUUUAUUAUAAAAUAGUAACUAUUGUAGAAAUACUUUAACUUUAUUAUGUACGAACGAGAUGAUUAUAAAAGGAGAUUGAGAUAUUCAUUACAUGUUAUUCAUUCUAUAAGCAAUACAAAGUUUAUUAAUCUGUACGUGUAUGUACGUUCGCGUACAUGCACGAAUUCUAACGUGCCAAAAUGUACAAAAGGCAAAUGCAAAAAUGAAUAUUAUGGUAAAUAUAUUAUUCGCAUAGAUUUUUGUAGCGGGAAAAUAGUAAAAAAGAAGUACAUUUUAUCUUCUUUUAUACAUUUGUGUCAAGUUUUUGUCAUAAAUAUUAAUUAGAAACGUAAUUUUUUAUUAUUAUUAAAAGAAAUUAGUUAAAUGUAAGUAUACAUCCAUUGUAUAAUUAUGUCAACUAAAACUCCAUAACAAAAUCGUAUUAUUCUAUUAUAGUAUGUAUAAUAUAUAUAGAGGAAGUUAAUAUUAAAAUUUCUAAACAUAUUGUAUUGUACUGUAUAUUAAAUCACUACUAAAUAGAUUGUAACAUAUUCACAAAUUUAACUUGUUAGUGGAAACUGAAUGUGGAACAGCUAUCUGUAAUGUAUUGACGCCGGUACAAAGCGAAUUCUACUGUAGAUUAGAAAACAACAGUUGUGAAUGUCACAGUUGUGAGUUAAUGUGUAGUUCACGAAGAGAAUAAUUGUAAAUGUAGUCAUGUAUGAGAUGUAACUGGAUGGAGAAAAAUAUUCUAGAAUAAAGAAUAGUAUAUUUUUAGAAUGUAUUUUGAAAUUGCGAAUUAUCAUAAUAUGUGUAAUGAAUGUUAAGAAAAGGAAAAGAAAUGCCUAGAUUCUAUUACAAUUAAUAAAUUCACGAUUUUGUGUCUGCGAA